This 323-nucleotide long non-coding RNA is filed under the name Setaria viridis. Its description in RNAcentral is "long non-coding RNA (SVIR_LNC001857)". The record is from RNAcentral. Lineage: Eukaryota; Viridiplantae; Streptophyta; Magnoliopsida; Poales; Poaceae.
AGGUUAGAUGCUACGGAAAAGGGGACACGGUCACGAUGUCCGUAUCCACUCUUUCUCGUAGAAUCGAACCUCCUUCUUGACAUACGUUGCUGCUCGGCGGAGAACAUCAUCGGAGAGAUGAACACGGUAUGCAAGUUCAACAAGUAUGGAUUUAAAAAACCAUAUUGAAUUUGAUAAGAUAAACCGUCUAGACAAGGUAGCAUCAUUUUUAAACCACUGCAAUAAUGCAUACCAUAUAUGACACAUCAAUCUCCCUCACAUUCUAGCUCAAAAUACCUCUCCAUUUUUCUACUUCAUCAUCACAUUCUAGCAAAUAAUCUUUC